RNAcentral lists this ribosomal RNA (1552 nucleotides) under Enterobacter cloacae. RNAcentral's name for it is "bacterial SSU rRNA". It matches the Rfam family "Bacterial small subunit ribosomal RNA". The record is from RNAcentral. Lineage: Bacteria; Pseudomonadati; Pseudomonadota; Gammaproteobacteria; Enterobacterales; Enterobacteriaceae.
UUAAAUUGAAGAGUUUGAUCAUGGCUCAGAUUGAACGCUGGCGGCAGGCCUAACACAUGCAAGUCGAACGGUAGCACAGAGAGCUUGCUCUCGGGUGACGAGUGGCGGACGGGUGAGUAAUGUCUGGGAAACUGCCUGAUGGAGGGGGAUAACUACUGGAAACGGUAGCUAAUACCGCAUAAUGUCGCAAGACCAAAGAGGGGGACCUUCGGGCCUCUUGCCAUCGGAUGUGCCCAGAUGGGAUUAGCUAGUAGGUGGGGUAACGGCUCACCUAGGCGACGAUCCCUAGCUGGUCUGAGAGGAUGACCAGCCACACUGGAACUGAGACACGGUCCAGACUCCUACGGGAGGCAGCAGUGGGGAAUAUUGCACAAUGGGCGCAAGCCUGAUGCAGCCAUGCCGCGUGUAUGAAGAAGGCCUUCGGGUUGUAAAGUACUUUCAGCGGGGAGGAAGGUGUUGUGGUUAAUAACCGCAGCAAUUGACGUUACCCGCAGAAGAAGCACCGGCUAACUCCGUGCCAGCAGCCGCGGUAAUACGGAGGGUGCAAGCGUUAAUCGGAAUUACUGGGCGUAAAGCGCACGCAGGCGGUCUGUCAAGUCGGAUGUGAAAUCCCCGGGCUCAACCUGGGAACUGCAUUCGAAACUGGCAGGCUAGAGUCUUGUAGAGGGGGGUAGAAUUCCAGGUGUAGCGGUGAAAUGCGUAGAGAUCUGGAGGAAUACCGGUGGCGAAGGCGGCCCCCUGGACAAAGACUGACGCUCAGGUGCGAAAGCGUGGGGAGCAAACAGGAUUAGAUACCCUGGUAGUCCACGCCGUAAACGAUGUCGAUUUGGAGGUUGUGCCCUUGAGGCGUGGCUUCCGGAGCUAACGCGUUAAAUCGACCGCCUGGGGAGUACGGCCGCAAGGUUAAAACUCAAAUGAAUUGACGGGGGCCCGCACAAGCGGUGGAGCAUGUGGUUUAAUUCGAUGCAACGCGAAGAACCUUACCUGGUCUUGACAUCCACAGAACUUUCCAGAGAUGGAUUGGUGCCUUCGGGAACUGUGAGACAGGUGCUGCAUGGCUGUCGUCAGCUCGUGUUGUGAAAUGUUGGGUUAAGUCCCGCAACGAGCGCAACCCUUAUCCUUUGUUGCCAGCGGUCCGGCCGGGAACUCAAAGGAGACUGCCAGUGAUAAACUGGAGGAAGGUGGGGAUGACGUCAAGUCAUCAUGGCCCUUACGACCAGGGCUACACACGUGCUACAAUGGCGCAUACAAAGAGAAGCGACCUCGCGAGAGCAAGCGGACCUCAUAAAGUGCGUCGUAGUCCGGAUUGGAGUCUGCAACUCGACUCCAUGAAGUCGGAAUCGCUAGUAAUCGUAGAUCAGAAUGCUACGGUGAAUACGUUCCCGGGCCUUGUACACACCGCCCGUCACACCAUGGGAGUGGGUUGCAAAAGAAGUAGGUAGCUUAACCUUCGGGAGGGCGCUUACCACUUUGUGAUUCAUGACUGGGGUGAAGUCGUAACAAGGUAACCGUAGGGGAACCUGCGGUUGGAUCACCUCCUUACCUUAAAGAA